AACAGCUGGUGUCGCAGCCUCUGUAAAACUGUUUACCAUUGCAAUUGCCACUUAACCCAAAAUCAGGAUCUUCAGAACUCCUAUAGGGUCUGGUAUAGGAGUACUGGUAUAUAUUUCAUGAGUCUCUUCUAGGAAAGUACAUUAUGAAAUCUGUUGGACUCUAAUAGGUUUGAAAGAUGACUGUGAAAACAGUUAAGAAUUGUGAUAGAAAUAUUAGAAAGAGCUGUCAGUUUGCUAGCAGGAUGGCAAUGCAACGGCAGUCUGAUUUUCUGAGCCUGGUUCACUUGCGUUCUUCCACAGGAAAUGCCAUUUACUAAAGUGGGCAAGGAGGAGGAAAAUUUACAAUGCAGAUAUUACAAUGUCACUGCUUUGAUGCUCC
Long non-coding RNA from Oxyura jamaicensis (ruddy duck), 379 nucleotides. RefSeq lists it as uncharacterized. The record is from RefSeq and is a predicted model, not a curated record. Lineage: Eukaryota; Metazoa; Chordata; Aves; Anseriformes; Anatidae. The transcript is spliced from 3 exons.